Long non-coding RNA from Ailuropoda melanoleuca (giant panda), 941 nucleotides. RefSeq lists it as uncharacterized. The transcript is spliced from 2 exons. Lineage: Eukaryota; Metazoa; Chordata; Mammalia; Carnivora; Ursidae. The record is from RefSeq and is a predicted model, not a curated record.
AGACAGGGAAUAGGGUGAUGAAAUCUCAUCAGAAAAGCACGUUGACGGUUUAUUUUAACCAGGAUUCUUGCGAUUGGAUCAGAGCUGCUGAGGACCAGCAGGGGCUCACUAGAGAACAUAAGCACAAUUUCAUCCCCACGAUUUCUGAUACCCACCCCAACACAGCCUCAUGUUCUAAAUGCUGCAGACAAGAAUCCUGCCGUGUCCCGCAGACGGCGCCCGAGAGUGGAGUCCUGGCCUGCUGUGGUUGGUCACGUCCAAGCCACCCAGUGUCCUGCCAGUCUGGGGACAUGUCACUGUCUUCAGAGAAGUGCCUCUCAUCUCUGAGAGUUGUUGACCUACAUGUUGUGUUUAAACCAACUUAAAUAAUCCAAGGUUUAAAAAAAAAAAAGUGUAGAGAAAGUUAAGAACACCUGCAGGUUUAGAAUCAGUUAACAGAAAAAGUUGUAAAAACAUCCAAGAACAGACUGCAAAAACCUGUCCGUGUUAGCCAAGGUUCCUUAGGCUGAGACUAUUUCUCAACUCUGUAAGGACCACGCCGGCUGAAGGUUCAUGACUGACGGGCAGGGCAGAGCGGGUGCCGGUGUCGACACAGACAGGGGCAUCGUUGGUCUCAUGGCAGCGACGGGCUGAAAGGAGGAAGGCUUGUCCUGGUUCCCAAGCCAGUAGGCUAGUUUCCAGAAAGACGGAACAGUCUCUACCUUUCAUGAUUCAAAUACUGUCUGUUUUCUCUUACUAUUUCACUUACUCAAGUAGUUAAAAAUAGAGAACUCUAGGUGGUACUGUGUUUCAAGGUCACAGAGAGGCAGUAUUUAUGAUUUAUUCAUGUCCGUAUACAGAGGCCCAUUUCAAAUGGCCUGACCCCAUCGAGCAUGUUUGUUAUUUCUCUUAUAAUUAUUGUAUGCUUGGUUUUGUACCCAAUAAAAUGAAACAUGUCUAAG